UUUUCGUAGGUGAACCUGCGGAAGGAUCAUUGUCGAUGCCUAAAACAUCAAACUACUCACGAACGCGUUUCACAAAACAUCCGCGCCAGAGGGGGGAUUGGAGCGUUCUUGCCUCGCCCCCCUCCCGGUAUGAACCUCAACCAAACCCCGGUGCAGGUCGUGCCAAGGAACUCCAACGAAUGAGCCCGCCCCCACCCCGGUCUCAGGGCGUGGGGGCCGAGCAUUCUUGUCGUAUGUAUUACUCACAACAACUCUCGGCAACAGAUAUCUCGGCUCUCGCAUCGAUGAAGAACGUAAUGAAAUGCGAUACUUGGUGUGAAUUGCACGAUCCUGCGAACCACUGAGUCUUUGAAUGCAAGUUGCGCCCAGAGACAUUUGGCAGAGGGCACGUCUGCCUGGGUGUCACACAUCGUUGCCCCCCCACGCAACCCCCACACCAUGUGUGCGUCAGUUCGUUGCCGCGGUCGGGGGCACACGUUGGCGUCUCGUGCGCACCGUCGCGUGGAAGGUAUAAAUUCGAGUCCUCGGGGCAUGUUGCCGCGACGCUACGGCGGUUGAUCCAACCUCAGUACCGCUUCCCGGCCACAGCUCCCGUACCUCCUCCGAGAGAGCGAGCGAGCGAGGGAAACAACGAGGCCUCUCAGAUCGACCCUGCAAACGUCGUCCCCCAAAAAGACGGUGCUCACGACGCGAGCCCAGGUCACGCAGGUCUACCCGCUGAGUUUAA
This 727-nucleotide ribosomal RNA is filed under the name Momordica cochinchinensis (spiny bitter cucumber). Its description in RNAcentral is "eukaryotic LSU rRNA". The stretch from base 250 to 405 matches the Rfam family "5.8S ribosomal RNA". Lineage: Eukaryota; Viridiplantae; Streptophyta; Magnoliopsida; Cucurbitales; Cucurbitaceae. The record is from RNAcentral.